Molecule: ribosomal RNA, 301 nt
Filed under: uncultured bacterium
Lineage: Bacteria
Description: bacterial SSU rRNA
Rfam family: Bacterial small subunit ribosomal RNA
Source: RNAcentral
GUGCCAGCAGCCGCGGUAAUACGUAGGGUGCAAGCGUUAAUCGGAAUUACUGGGCGUAAAGCGUGCGCAGGCGGUGAUGUAAGACAGUCGUGAAAUCCCCGGGCUCAACCUGGGCAUUACGAUUGUGACUGCAUCGCUGGAGUGCGGCAGAGGGGGAUGGAAUUCCGCAUGUAGCAGUGAAAUGCGUAGAUAUGUGGAGGAACACCAAUGGCGAAGGCAGCCCCCUGGGAUAACACUGACGCUCAUGUACGAAAGCGUGGGUAGCAAACAGGAUUAGAUACCCUGGUAGUCCACGCCCUAA